AAACUAAACAAACAAUUGUCCUAUGUUCUCCUUGACACGGUUAUCUUGGAACUCUUUCCAGAGCUAAACGAGGAGGUUCAGUUAUAAUGCUUGAAAUUUCUUUAUGAGUACAAGACCUUCGAUGUUGAAAGAUCAUUCAAAAUGUGGUUGCUGAAAAUGAACAUUUAAUUAGAAUACCAGGUGGUAAUAUCUAGUUGGGAUCAUGAAGCUUUACCAGAUCAGUAUAAAAAAUAUGAACCUGUCUGUCUAUGUACAUGGAGAAUUUAUUUCAAAUAUAUAAGAAAAAAUCAUAAAAAUUAUUUCAGUACUUAAAUAUUAGUUAAAUUUAAAGUGAUUUAUAAAAAUAUUUCUAACUGCAUAUAUAAAAAGUAUAUGAGAUAUAUGUAAAGAGACAAGCUCUAUUCGUUUGUGGCAAUGCUUUAAGUAUAUGAAUUGCAAGCCUUGGGGAGACAUCUAAAAGAGUGAAAAAAUGUGCACCAACCAGGACUUGCUAGCACUUCUGCUGUGUCAGGGGUAGUGCCAGUGGUUGGGCUAGCUUGGUCAGGGCCUGGCCCAGCCAUCAGGGAGUUGCGGUAAAAUCUAUCAGCGAUCAAUUAUAAUAAUUUUCUAAACUAGAGAAAGCUGGUCCGAUCGAGAAUGCCAUUUUCGGGCAUCAGAGGUGACAAACCUAAAAUGUUUUACCUGAGCUCUAACCAUCGUGGGGCUGUGGUGGUUGCGGUCCAUUUGUUGGGGAACACUGAGCCAUCUGUUGGGGAAAAGAUGUUGCCGCCACUGGUAUGUAUGUACAGUAAAAGAUAUGCAUAGUUUAGUUAAUAGUAUACACAAUAUAUAUAAUCAGUAUUUUCUAUAUACAGUAUGUUUACUGUGUAUGUUAAUGUAGCAUAGUUUUCAGUUGUGUCUAAAUCUUUAAUGUAGAAUUUUACACAGAUACUUGAACAGCAAUUGAGACAAAUUAAUGGUGACUUAAAUAUAUGUUAUACAAACAUGCUGUUCAUAAUUAGACUAAAAUAUCAUGAGCCACAACAUGGAAGAAUCCAUGCCCACACUGUGUCAUUCCAGCAAUGGAAGAAAGUUUCGUAUAUGUUUCAAAAUAAGAUCCAGUGCAAUACUUCAGUAUGAAAAUGCAAUAGCAAAUAAAUGAAAUUGUAUUAACAAAUCUA
Molecule: long non-coding RNA, 1160 nt
Organism: Anneissia japonica
Lineage: Eukaryota; Metazoa; Echinodermata; Crinoidea; Comatulida; Comatulidae
Exons: 2
Source: RefSeq, a predicted model, not a curated record